UACGAUUGCAAAAAUGCUGUCGGUCCCCAUCGUGAUGUCCUAUCAUACACAUGUGCCUGUAUACCAAGAUACACGCAAGGUUUCGAGGCGUUUUCCCUUCGCCUCACGAGGCGUAAGUAUCGAGGCGGAACGAGGCGUAAGGCCGAGGCGGUAUUAAUAAAUAAAUAUUAAAAUUAUAUAUAUCAUAAAAUAAUAAUUACUAAACAUCAAAAAAAGAGUUUUCUCAUCAAAUUUCAUCAAAUUCAGUAGUUAAAAACAUAAAAAAGAUUCAAAUUUCAUCAAAUACUUGACAUAAAAAAAGCUAUUUAAGAAAAGCACACAUAGAGAAGAAUAGCUUGAACAUGUGAUGUCAAGCGGGUUGAAAAUCAUUCAAAGUCUAUAUUAAAUCAAUCUAUAAUUUUACUUUUUUACAAAAUGACCAAAAAAUGGUUUAUCUGAAACAAAAUCACCAAAUACUAUGGUUGGAACAUUGUUCAUUUCUGUUUGAAUGAUUUCAGAAAUGGUGAACCUGAUCGACCAUUGAUCGUACAUGUUGGGCGUAUUGGAGUCGAGAAAAAUUUGGAUUUACUUAAAAGGUAGCUUCUACUUUAUUUAUUCCCUUCAUUCCAUGAAAUUACUAUUCCAAAGUUUAUUCUAUUGGUAUGAUUACUUAUGCGUAUACAUACAUAUCCGCACCGUCGUAUUCUCAUUCCUUUUUGGGCUUUUCGAAUCUUAGCGUCGGACAACAAUUACUAACACGGCACGUAAAUAAAUAGGUAUUGUGUCGGCUAACCCGUUUUAUUAAACAGCUGAACUAUAUGGGUUAAUCUGAACUUGACCCGUUAAUAAGGUUUGGGACACAUGGCAUGUUGUGGUGCACUUACCAGAAUGGAUCUUGUGAUUAUACCUGCUGGUGUUCCAAGAAAGCCCGGAAUGACACGUGAUGAUCUUUUCAAGAUUAAUGCGGGAAUUGUUAAAACUUUAUGUGAAGGAAUUGGAAUGUGUUGCCCUAAUGCAAUCGUCAACUUAAUUAGCAAUCCUGUGAAUUCUACGGUUCCAAUCGCUGCAGAAGUUUUCAAGAAAGCUGGUACUUAUGAUUCCAAAUGCUUGGUUGGUGUCACUAUGCUUGAUGUUGUUAGAGCCAACACUUUUGUGGCUGAAGUUUUGGGACUUGAUCCAUGAGAAGUUAGUGUCCCGAUGGUUGGAGGAAGUUUGUGAUGUGAGUGAAGUGGCUGGGAGAAAUAUGAUGUCCACAACCUCAACUACCACAAACUUGAUGGGCUUACAGAUUUCUGUAUCAUGGUUGACGCCGAUGCACUUCUAGAAAAAGAUUUAGUAACUUUAGAUGAGGCAUUGCAGAUUGCAAAUAAUGUUGUGUUGAUGUCAUUAAACGCAGUCUCCAUUUUGGCUUCUAUAAGUGGAGUCCAACAUAAAAUUUCUGGAUAUACCGCAUGGGAGUAUGAAAGAACUUGGAGUCAAAGACCUAAAAAAGGUUUUGUAGUGAGAUGGAGGAAGAUGUGGAUCACCUGCUCGUGUCAUGCUACAUCGCUUUAGGGGUUAGAUAGAAUGUAAGUCUUUGGUGCAUCAUCCCUUAUUUUUCAGGUACAAAGGUGAGGGAGCUGUUCAAAUUUUAUUAAGCAGAAGGCAUAUUGGAAAAUAAAAGAAAGUUGGUGCAAUGAUUCUUAUUGUGUCAUCUUGUGAGAUUUGAAAAGCACGAAACGAAUUGAUGUUCUCAGGCAAGCGGGUAUCAGUUGAUCGGAUAUUCGCGUAAACUCAGGCGAUGUCGUUCAUGUGACUGAAACAUCGGGCGAACCGACCAGGGUUAGAGUGGGCGAAGUGGCUAAAGUGUGAUGUUUUGGGUUGAUCUGUAAUUGGAGUAUGGGGUGAGUUAUGUACGGGUAUGGGUUUAAUGGGUACUAGCGACUUACUGGUACAUGCCCUUGUAACAUAUAUAAAUUUGGUGUGGAAUAAAAUCAUUGUUUGCCAUCCAAAAUAAAAGUAGUUUCUUUUCUUUAA
Molecule: long non-coding RNA, 1995 nt
Organism: Helianthus annuus (common sunflower)
Lineage: Eukaryota; Viridiplantae; Streptophyta; Magnoliopsida; Asterales; Asteraceae
Exons: 6
Source: RefSeq, a predicted model, not a curated record